UUUCCGUAGGUGAACCUGCGGAUGGAUCAUUACAGAGUUAUCUACCUCCCAAACCAAUGUGUACUUACCAUUUGUUGCCUCGGCAGAGCCUACCCGGUAACUGUUCGGAGAAGCUACCCUGUAGCUACCCUGUAACGGCCUACCCUGUAACGCACUGCCGGUGGACUUUUAAACUCUUGUUAUUUUAUAGUAAUCUGAGCGUCUUAUUUUAAUAAGUCAAAACUUUCAACAACGGAUUUCUUGGUUCUGGCAUCGAUGAAGAACGCAGC
RNAcentral lists this unclassified non-coding RNA (269 nucleotides) under uncultured fungus. RNAcentral describes it as "sequence contains ITS1, 5.8S rRNA gene". The stretch from base 221 to 269 matches the Rfam family "5.8S ribosomal RNA", at positions 1 to 49 of the family's 154-position model. The record is from RNAcentral. Lineage: Eukaryota; Fungi.